Long non-coding RNA from Spea bombifrons (plains spadefoot toad), 366 nucleotides. RefSeq lists it as uncharacterized. Lineage: Eukaryota; Metazoa; Chordata; Amphibia; Anura; Pelobatidae. The record is from RefSeq and is a predicted model, not a curated record. The transcript is spliced from 4 exons.
CACCUACUGCAUAUGAGGGACCAGCAAGCUCUAUUUAUAGUGACCAGAGCGAUGAUGGACAUGAACCUAAAGAAGAGGGCACCUAUGUUGGAGAUGAAUCAGAAUAUAUUUAUGAAUAUGAAGACUAUGACUGUGAUUCAAAAGAGUCUCAUGAAGAUAAUUUAAAACAGGUUAAAGACUAGUCAACUAUUUCAACCUAAUUAAGCGGCAGCAAGAUGAUGUUUGACAGAACUAUGAAGUUUGGACAAUCUGCUCUUCAGUUCUUUACAUUUGCAGAUCUUUAACUGUCUCUAUUUUUAAUCAAAUUUCACUUUCUUUAGUCUAAGCCUAAUCAUACUUAAAAGCAUUUCUCUAAUAAAGUAUAAA